GGAACGUAAUGGAAGGGCUGCUUGCAGCUUGCCCGCUAAGCUGCUUUAUUAAAGAUUCUGAGCAAAACCUUCUUCGCGAAGUUGAUGAAGCAGAAACCGAAUCCCCUUCUCAUUGAAGUAGCUUAAUUAGGCGUUCUGCGAUUUUCUGGUAUAUAUAUGUGCUCCCUCUUUGGUCUGUUUCCAUAUGUGGAGAGUGCAGAGACAAGCCACCAAUAACCAACACUGAUUUUGAAUUCUCAGGCAUUCUGCUCACAGAGGAUUACCAUUAAUUCAAUGGCUUACAUUCCUCCACAUAAGCGGCA
This 302-nucleotide unclassified non-coding RNA is filed under the name Hevea brasiliensis (rubber tree). Lineage: Eukaryota; Viridiplantae; Streptophyta; Magnoliopsida; Malpighiales; Euphorbiaceae. The record is from RNAcentral.